RNAcentral lists this ribosomal RNA (403 nucleotides) under uncultured bacterium. Its description in RNAcentral is "partial 16S ribosomal RNA". It matches the Rfam family "Bacterial small subunit ribosomal RNA", at positions 28 to 526 of the family's 1533-position model. The record is from RNAcentral.
GACGAACGCUGGCGGCGUGCCUAAUACAUGCAAGUCGAACGCAGUGGGGAUGGGUGAGUAACACGUGGGUAACCUCCCAUCAGAGGGGAUAACACUUGGAAACAGGUGCUAAACCUAUACUGAUGGAUGAUCUCGCGGUGCAGUAGCUAGUUGGUGAGGUAACGGAUCACCAAGGCCACGAUGCAUAGCCGACCUGAGAGGGGGAUCGGCCACACUGGGACUGAGACACGGCCCAGAAUCCUACGGGAGGCAGAAGUAGGGAAUCUUCGGCAAUGGACGAAAGUCUGACCGAUCAACGCCGCGUGAGUGAAGAAGGUUUUCGGAUCGUAAAACUCUGUUGUUAGAGAAGCGGUAUCUGACCAGAAAGCCACGGCUAACUACGUGCCAGCAGCCGCGGUAAGUC